GUGCUCACUUUGGCAGCACAUAUAUUAAAAUUGGACAACACAGAGAAGAUUAGCAUGGCUCCUGCACAAGGAUGACACCCAAAUUCAUGAGACGUUCUCCAUAUUU
Molecule: small nuclear RNA, 106 nt
Filed under: Catagonus wagneri (Chacoan peccary)
Lineage: Eukaryota; Metazoa; Chordata; Mammalia; Artiodactyla; Tayassuidae
Source: RNAcentral